UCCGCAGGGGUUUGCCGAGUCUGAUGUGAAAUCUCACGGCUCAACUGUGAAACUGCAUUGGAUACUGGCGAACUAGAGUCUGCGAGGGGUGAGCGGAAUUCCAGGUGUAGCGGUGGAAUGCGUAGAUAUCUGGAAGAACACCGAUGGCGAAGGCGGCUCACUGGCGCAGUACUGACCCUCAGGGACGAAAGCGUGGGUAGCAAACA
This 206-nucleotide ribosomal RNA is filed under the name uncultured bacterium. Its description in RNAcentral is "partial 16S ribosomal RNA". It matches the Rfam family "Bacterial small subunit ribosomal RNA", at positions 568 to 774 of the family's 1533-position model. The record is from RNAcentral.